GUGUUAACCUACCUCCACAGUGAGAAGGUACCAGGGGGUGUGUGUUAACCUACCUCCACAGUGAGAAGGUACCAGGGGGUGUGUGUUAACCUACCUCCACAGUGAGAAGGUACCAGGGGGUGUGUGUUAACCUACCUCCACAGUGAGAAGGUACCAGGGGGUGUGUGUUAACCUACCUCCACAGUGAGAAGGUACCAGGGGGUGUGUGUUAACCUACCUCCACAGUGAGAAGGUACCAGGGGGUGUGUGUUAACCUACCUCCACAGUGAGAAGGUACCAGGG
Oncorhynchus keta (chum salmon) is the source of this 282-nucleotide long non-coding RNA. RefSeq lists it as uncharacterized. Lineage: Eukaryota; Metazoa; Chordata; Actinopteri; Salmoniformes; Salmonidae. The record is from RefSeq and is a predicted model, not a curated record. The transcript is spliced from 3 exons.